Molecule: ribosomal RNA, 498 nt
Filed under: uncultured bacterium
Lineage: Bacteria
Description: partial 16S ribosomal RNA
Rfam family: Bacterial small subunit ribosomal RNA
Source: RNAcentral
AUUGAACGCUGGCGGAAUGCCUUACACAUGCAAGUUGAGCGGCAGCGCGGGGCAACCUGGCGGCGAGCGGCGAACGGGUGAGUAAUACAUCGGAACGUACCCAGUUGUGGGGGAUAGCCCGGCGAAAGCCGGAUUAAUACCGCAUACGACCUGAGGGUGAAAGUGGGGGAUCGCAAGACCUUACGCAGUUGGAGCGGCCAAUGGCGGAUUAGCUAGUUGGUAGGGUAAAGGCCUACCAAGGCGACGAUCCGUAGCGGGUCUGAGAGGACGACCCGCCACACUGGAACUGAGACACGGUCCAGACUCCUACGGGAGGCAGCAGUGGGGAAUUUUGGACAAUGGGGGCAGCCCUGAUCCAGCCAUUCCGCGUGAGUGAAGAAGGCCUUCGGGUUGUAAAGCUCUUUCGGCAGGAACGAAACGGCGGGCUCUAACAUAGCCUGCUAAUGACGGUACCUGAAGAAGAAGCACCGGCUAACUACGUGCCAGCAGCCGCGGUAA